This 781-nucleotide ribosomal RNA is filed under the name uncultured bacterium. Its description in RNAcentral is "bacterial SSU rRNA". It matches the Rfam family "Bacterial small subunit ribosomal RNA", at positions 8 to 796 of the family's 1533-position model. The record is from RNAcentral.
AGAGUUUGAUCAUGGCUCAGGACGAACGCUGGCGGCGUGCCUAACACAUGCAAGUCGAGCGAUGAAACCCUUCGGGGUGGAUUAGCGGCGGACGGGUGAGUAACACGUGGGUAACCUGCCUCAAAGAGGGGAAUAGCCUCCCGAAAGGGAGAUUAAUACCGCAUAAUAUGUUUUGGUCGCAUGACCUUGACAUCAAAGGAUUUUUCUUCGGAAAUUUCCACUUUGAGAUGGACCCGCGGCGCAUUAGCUAGUUGGUGAGGUAACGGCCCACCAAGGCAACGAUGCGUAGCCGACCUGAGAGGGUGAUCGGCCACAUUGGAACUGAGACACGGUCCAGACUCCUACGGGAGGCAGCAGUGGGGAAUAUUGCGCAAUGGGGGAAACCCUGACGCAGCAACGCCGCGUGAAUGAUGAAGGCCUUCGGGUUGUAAAGUUCUGUCUUCUGGGACGAUAAUGACGGUACCAGAGGAGGAAGCCACGGCUAACUACGUGCCAGCAGCCGCGGUAAUACGUAGGUGGCAAGCGUUGUCCGGAUUUACUGGGCGUAAAGGAUGCGUAGGCGGACAUUUAAGUCAGAUGUGAAAUACCCGAGCUUAACUUGGGUGCUGCAUUUGAAACUGGGUGUCUAGAGUGCAGGAGAGGUAAGUGGAAUUCCUAGUGUAGCGGUGAAAUGCGUAGAGAUUAGGAAGAACACCAGUGGCGAAGGCGACUUACUGGACUGUAACUGACGCUGAGGCAUGAAAGCGUGGGGAGCAAACAGGAUUAGAUACCCUAGUAGUCC